UACGUAGGGGGCAAGCGUUGUCCGGAAUUAUUGGGCGUAAAGCGCGUGUAGGCGGCUCGAUAAGUCUGCUGUGAAAGUCCAAGGCUCAACCUUGGAAAGCCGGUGGAUACUGUCGAGCUCGAGUCCGGAAGAGGCGAGUGGAAUUCCUGGUGUAGCGGUGAAAUGCGCAGAUAUCAGGAGGAACACCAAUGGCGAAGGCAGCUCGCUGGGACGGUAGCUGACGCUGAGACGCGAAAGCGUGGGGAGCAAACAGG
Molecule: ribosomal RNA, 254 nt
Filed under: uncultured bacterium
Lineage: Bacteria
Description: partial 16S ribosomal RNA
Rfam family: Bacterial small subunit ribosomal RNA
Source: RNAcentral